This 683-nucleotide ribosomal RNA is filed under the name Amanita bisporigera (eastern North American destroying angel). RNAcentral describes it as "eukaryotic LSU rRNA". The stretch from base 278 to 431 matches the Rfam family "5.8S ribosomal RNA". Lineage: Eukaryota; Fungi; Basidiomycota; Agaricomycetes; Agaricales; Amanitaceae. The record is from RNAcentral.
CUUGGUCAUUUAGAGGAAGUAAAAGUCGUAACAAGGUUUCCGUAGGUGAACCUGCGGAAGGAUCAUUACUGAAAUGAACCUYGAGGCUGUYGCUGGCCCAUCUGGGCAUGUGCACGUCUCUGGUCAUUACCAAUUCCACCUGUGCACACUUGUAGACACUUGGGAAUGAGAGACUUUGACCGGUCUCUUGAGGGAAUUGAACUCUGGGUGUCUAUGCCAUUUUAUCAAACACUAGUUGCAUGUUUAUAGAAUGACGAUUUGAUUGAAUAUAAAAUACAACUUUCAACAACGGAUCUCUUGGCUCUCGCAUCGAUGAAGAACGCAGCGAAAUGCGAUAAGUAAUGUGAAUUGCAGAAUUCAGUGAAUCAUCGAAUCUUUGAACGCACCUUGCGCUCCUUGGCAUUCCGAGGAGCAUGCCUGUUUGAGUGUCAUUAACAUCUCAAGACCUGUCUGCUUUUGAUAGGUAUUGGAUUUUGGGAGUUGCAGGCUGUUUCAGAUAUAGCUUGCUCUCCUUGAAUGUAUUAGUGGAGAAAAGCUGUUGAACUCCAUUGGUGUGAUAAAAUCUAUCAAUGCCAGGAGCAACGUCGAGUUGUCUCUGCUGUCUAACCCUAACUGUCUGACCCACUUGACCUCAAAUCAGGUAGGACUACCCGCUGAACUUAAGCAUAUCAAUAAGCGGAGGA